AUACGGAGGGUGCGAGCGUUGUUCGGAAUUAUUGGGCGUAAAGAGCAUGUAGGCGGUCUGUUAAGUCUGGUGUGAAAGCCCGGGGCUCAACCCCGGAAGUGCAUUGGAUACUGGCAGACUUGAGUAUGGGAGAGGAAAGCGGAAUUCCGAGUGUAGGAGUGAGAUCCGUAGAUAUUCGGAGGAACACCAGUGGCGAAGGCGGCUUUCUGGACCAAUACUAACGCUGAGAUGCGAAAGCGUGGGGAGCGAACAGGAUUAGAAACCCCAGUAGUCC
RNAcentral lists this ribosomal RNA (274 nucleotides) under uncultured bacterium. RNAcentral describes it as "partial 16S ribosomal RNA". It matches the Rfam family "Bacterial small subunit ribosomal RNA", at positions 523 to 796 of the family's 1533-position model. The record is from RNAcentral.